UGGGUUAGGCCUCCCUGCCAUCUCAUUUUCCUGGCUCGUCGUCUCGUCUAUUUACCUUGGCUCCACCUUUGGCUCAGCUGGACACCACAGGCUUCACCAGAGUCAUUUGGAAUGCAAGCCCAUCACACCAAGUCUCCUAUUUCCCCAAGGCUCAGAGAGAAUUGGAACUGAACUCUGAGUGGCUAGUUGUUGGUUGUCCCCAGCCAAGUCUGCACAAAUGGAGAAAAUGCAUGUUUGCUGCAGUUCUGUAGCUUGGGUAACGGUCAGAGGAACUCUAAUGCCAGAACAAAUGAUGCUGCUAAACGGAAAGAGCAGGAGUCUUCUCUCUACAAAAUGCCUCACAAAGGAGACUUUCUUUGCUCCUCUUGGUACAUGUGGAUCAGUCAAAUGGAUGUAUCAGAUUAUGGCUGCAUCUACCCAGAGCCUGUUUUUAGUCUCAAACCAUACACUGAGUUCUUUCAAAUCUGCUAUACUUCCAUUUACAGGUAUACCUUUUUCUAUUACAGAUGGUGUAUUUUUUUGUUUGUUUGUUUUUUAUCAGUUGAAGGUUUGCAGCAACCUUGCAUUAAGCAAGUCGAUCAGUGCCAUUUUUCCAACAGUUUUCACUCACUUUGUGCCUCUGUGUCACACUUUGGUGGUUGUUAUUCGGUAA
RNAcentral lists this long non-coding RNA (652 nucleotides) under Capra hircus (goat). Its description in RNAcentral is "lncRNA (ENSCHIG00010025119.1)". Lineage: Eukaryota; Metazoa; Chordata; Mammalia; Artiodactyla; Bovidae. The record is from RNAcentral.